Molecule: RNA transcript, 1946 nt
Organism: Oryza sativa Japonica Group (Japanese rice)
Lineage: Eukaryota; Viridiplantae; Streptophyta; Magnoliopsida; Poales; Poaceae
Gene name: ankyrin repeat-containing protein At5g02620-like
Source: RefSeq, a predicted model, not a curated record
ACGAAAUUCAUCGGACGAUCCUCCCACGCGCUCUGCCUCCCAUUUUUCGCGAAAAAACUGCCUCCCUUUCCCCGUUCCUCCAUGCCGCACCGCCUCCCCAUCGUCGUCGUCGCCGCCCCGUCGCCCCUGCUCGCCCGCAUCCACCGCGCCGCCUCCCUCCCUGGGGGCCCUAGCCCCUUCUUCCUCCCCCCACCGCACCCCCGUGCCUCCCUCCCCGCAGCGUCGCCAUACCCUCCUCCUCCUCGCUGCGCCCCCGGCUCCGCCCACAUCCACGUUUGGGAGUGCAUAUUCUCCGCGGUCCGCGGCGGCCAAGCAGUUUUCUCUCACGGGUGGUGCCACCCCCUCACCGCCGUUCGUCUUCUCGGCAAAAAUCCGGCGACCAAAGCAGCAAUAGGAGGUUGCAGGAUGAGCAACAGUCGGUCACCCCGCCGCCGCAGAACGUUUGCCAAGACGGCCGGGGGCGAGGCCUCCCGCUCCUCCAUCACGUCCGGAUCGGCGGGCACGCAGUGCUGCACAUUCUUCACUUCGCCGGCUAAGGCGGCCUCCUCCAUUGCUUUCGGCUUCCUAUUCUUUAUCUGAAUAACCACCCAGGUCUUCAUUUCUAUCGCCACUUCUUGCGCAUCUCAUGCUCUGAUUUUAUUGCAGCAGCCAGCUGGAAUCAAAGAAUUCCUCUAUCGAGGCAUCGUGUUAGAUCACGCCGACCUGCCAAAAUGUCUGCCACUGGCCCACUGCCGCUUCCGCCCUUCCUCCUGCUCCCCCGCGCCGCCGCGCUUCACUGACCCACCGCUGGUAACCCUUGCGUUGGUCCCACUUUCUCUGAGGUCGCUGCCUACUUGGAGGGCCGGCCAGAUGUGGUCGUGCAGUCCUUGAGAGAGGAGGAGGGUUGGCGCCAUAUGCAUUGCAUCACACGCAAGUGCGUCACUACCCCGAGCUCCGUAUGUGCGAUUGCAGCCGCCUCCACUCGCCAAGUCGCCAUGCCAAUCUGAUCUAAGAGCGCAUGUUGCAGAGUGAACACCAUGGAUGCGGCUUGCAUGCAGAGUUGCAGAGUGAAGACAAUGGCCAUCGUUGUUCAGUCUACCACGAGCCAGCUGCACAAAUGCUUGAUUCAGCUUUCAACUUCCAACCUGAUUUUAGAGCAAGCAGGCAAUAAUCUCGCCAAUUGAAAUCAACCGAUCAACAUAUCUAUCGAUGUGCCUAUAAGAUGCGGUAAACCAACAAGAAGAAGUGCUUGAUUUACUUUCCAAUUCAUAUUUCAGGUAUCUUUAAGACCUCACAAAAUUUUCUCCAGAAGCAAUACUUGUAUGAGCAAAGCGAGGAGUUAGCUAGGGGGGCAACAACUGCAUGCCUAAGCAAGUCAAUGAGCUGUGGGCUGAAGUCGAGCAAGUGCGUGGGUGAAGUUAGUGUACUACAGUAAUUCUCCUGUAUCAAGGGAGCAGCAACAGAAAAAGCUGCCUUGCCGCCGCCAACAUUGAAGAGAAUGGCAUAGAUGCCAUGUUGAGGAUGGGUAGCACCUGCAGAAGGCACAAACCUGCUGCCCCAAGGCUGGAGGGGGCACUCGAGGAAAACACCAUGGUGGGCGGUUGCUAUCGGGGACCCGUGAUGGUUAUCGUCAAGGAGAAGCAACAGUGCAAAAAAUUACACCUCCUUUCACAGUAAGGAAACCUGCAACCUUAUAUACUACCAUUUUAUCCCCCAUGCGCUAUUUUAGAUAGAGUUUCAGGGUUUUGAGCUUGAAAUUUUCCAAUGGUUUGAGAUGGUUGAUAGUUCUUAAAAAGUAGUUGCUUGUGAUCGAUAUAAUUUUUUUUUGACGUAAAUGAUCGAUAUAAUGCAAGGGUCAAUGUGGAAGGUAUAUAUUAUUUUUAUCAUUUAUGGCCAGAUGAUCCAAUUUGGUAAUGUAUACAUUUCUUAUGAAUUAUGCAAGGAGAGCAAUUGUGUUCUUACCUCUA